GUGGAUUAGAUACCCUGGUAGUCCACGCCGUACACGAUGGGUGCUAGGUGUCGCGGGCUUUGACCCCUGCGGUGCCGCAGCUAACGCAUUAAGCACCCCGCCUGGGAAGUACGGCCGCAAGGCUAAAACUCAAAGGAAUUGACGGGGGCCCGCACAAGCGGUGGAGCAUGUGGUUUAAUUCGACGCAACGCGAAGAACCUUACCUGGGCUAGAAAACAUGAGAGCCCGGUUGAAAAAUCGGGGUGCUCUUCGGAGAACUCAUGGUUAGGUGCUGCAUGGCCGUCGUCAACU
Molecule: ribosomal RNA, 291 nt
Filed under: uncultured bacterium
Lineage: Bacteria
Description: partial 16S ribosomal RNA
Rfam family: Bacterial small subunit ribosomal RNA
Source: RNAcentral